Molecule: ribosomal RNA, 684 nt
Filed under: Pallasea grubei
Lineage: Eukaryota; Metazoa; Arthropoda; Malacostraca; Amphipoda; Pallaseidae
Description: bacterial SSU rRNA
Rfam family: Eukaryotic small subunit ribosomal RNA
Source: RNAcentral
AGNCCAAGCUGUGUUCACACGGCGAGACCGCGGACGGCUCAUUAAAUCAGUCGUGGUCCAAAUGGGCCAGUGCAAAUCCUACUUGGAUAACUGUGGUAAUUCCAGAGCUAAUACAUGCAACUGAUAUCCCGAAGGCGGUGUUUGUGCUUGCUUGCCUUGCGCUUGCGCUGCUCUGACGGAUGCUUUUAUUAGACCAAGCCGCUGAGGACUUGAGGGUUCGCGCUCUCUUGUUUGACUCGUGUGAUGGUGACUCUGGAUAACCAAAUUCUGACAAGCGCACGUACUUCUCUUCUGAGCGAGACGGCGCUGCCACUUUCGAGUGUCUGCCUUAUCAGCUAUCAACCGUUCGUUAUGCGCGACCGAUGGCUUUGACGGGUAACGGGGAAUCAGGGUUCGAUUCCGGAGAGGCAGCCUGAGAGACGGCUACCACGUCCAAGGACGGCAGCAGGCACGCAAAUUACCCAAUCCCAGCAAAUGGGGGAGGUAGUGACGAAAUCUAACGAUGCGGGCGCCCUUUCUGGGGCCCCGCAAUCGGAAUGGGCACUUUCUAAACAACCUGUUGAGAACCUACUGAAGGGCAAGUCUGGUGCCAGCAGCCGCGGUAAUUCCAGCUUCAGCAGCAUCUAUUAAAGUUGCUGCGGUUAAAAGGCUCGCAGUUGAAUGUCUGUAUCGAGCGCAGGUCAG